CAGUCGCCGCGGGAAUACGAAGGGGGCUAGCGUUGCUCGGAAUUACUGGGCGUAAAGGGCGCGUAGGCGGCGCUCCAAGUUAGGCGUGAAAUUCCCGGGCUCAACCUGGGGACUGCGCUUAAGACUGGAGUGCUUGAGGAUGGAAGAGGGUUGUGGAAUUCCCAGUGUAGAGGUGAAAUUCGUAGAUAUUGGGAAGAACACCGGUGGCGAAGGCGGCAACCUGGUCCAUUACUGACGCUGAGGCGCGAUAGCGUGGGGAGCAAACAGGAUUAGAUACCCGCGUAGUCCCUGUCUCUUAUAC
Molecule: ribosomal RNA, 301 nt
Filed under: uncultured bacterium
Lineage: Bacteria
Description: partial 16S ribosomal RNA
Rfam family: Bacterial small subunit ribosomal RNA
Source: RNAcentral